RNAcentral lists this ribosomal RNA (469 nucleotides) under uncultured organism. RNAcentral's name for it is "partial 16S ribosomal RNA". It matches the Rfam family "Bacterial small subunit ribosomal RNA", at positions 335 to 796 of the family's 1533-position model. The record is from RNAcentral.
ACUCCUGCGGGAGGCAGCAGUGGGGAAUUUUGGACAAUGGGCGAAAGCCUGAUCCAGCAAUGCCGCGUGAGUGAAGAAGGCCUUCGGGUUGUAAAGCUCUUUUGUCAGGGAAGAAACGGUGAAAGCUAAUAUCUUUUGCUAAUGACGGUACCUGAAGAAUAAGCACCGGCUAACUACGUGCCAGCAGCCGCGGUAAUACGUAGGGUGCAAGCGUUAAUCGGAAUUACUGGGCGUAAAGCGUGCGCAGGCGGUUUUGUAAGUCUGAUGUGAAAUCCCCGGGCUCAACCUGGGAAUUGCAUUGGAGACUGCAAGGCUAGAAUCUGGCAGAGGGGGGUAGAAUUCCACGUGUAGCAGUGAAAUGCGUAGAUAUGUGGAGGAACACCGAUGGCGAAGGCAGCCCCCUGGGUCAAGAUUGACGCUCAUGCACGAAAGCGUGGGGAGCAAACAGGAUUAGAUACCCGAGUAGUCC